GAUGAACGCUGGCGGCGUGCCUAAUACAUGCAAGUCGAGCGAACGGACGAGAAGCUUGCUUCUCUGAUGUUAGCGGCGGACGGGUGAGUAACACGUGGAUAACCUACCUAUAAGACUGGGAUAACUUCGGGAAACCGGAGCUAAUACCGGAUGAUAUUUUGAACCGCAUGGUUCAAAAGUGAAAGACGGUCUUGCUGUCACUUAUAGAUGGAUCCGCGCUGCAUUAGCUAGUUGGUAAGGUAACGGCUUACCAAGGCAACGAUGCAUAGCCGACCUGAGAGAGUGAUCGGCCACACUGGAACUGAGACACGGUCCAGACUCCUACGGGAGGCAGCAGUAGGGAAUCUUCCGCAAUGGGCGAAAGCCUGACGGAGCAACGCCGCGUGAGUGAUGAUGGUCUUCGGAUCGUAAAACUCUGUUAUUAGGGAAGAACAUAUGUGUAAGUAACUGUGCACAUCUUGACGGUACCUAAUCAGAAAGCCACGGCUAACUACGUG
This 497-nucleotide ribosomal RNA is filed under the name uncultured bacterium. Its description in RNAcentral is "partial 16S ribosomal RNA". It matches the Rfam family "Bacterial small subunit ribosomal RNA", at positions 28 to 507 of the family's 1533-position model. The record is from RNAcentral.